UAGGCCGCGCUGAUUUGGCCGAUCGCGUUGCGGAAUGGCGUCGGCGCUCCGCCGCCGGCCCAGCCGAGCACGAUGACGUCGAUCACGAGCAGCCAGAAGAAGCGCUUGAACACCGGCCGGUAGCGACCCGAGCGCACCGGCGACUUGUCGAUCCACGGCAUGAAGAACGCAG
RNAcentral lists this unclassified non-coding RNA (172 nucleotides) under fungal sp. Its description in RNAcentral is "partial internal transcribed spacer region". Lineage: Eukaryota; Fungi. The record is from RNAcentral.